UCCCUGAGAAUGCUCCGACAUCU
Molecule: microRNA, 23 nt
Filed under: Caenorhabditis briggsae
Lineage: Eukaryota; Metazoa; Nematoda; Chromadorea; Rhabditida; Rhabditidae
Description: cbr-miR-237-5p
Gene: cbr-miR-237-5p
Source: miRBase by way of RNAcentral